This 465-nucleotide ribosomal RNA is filed under the name Vreelandella stevensii. RNAcentral's name for it is "partial 16S ribosomal RNA". It matches the Rfam family "Bacterial small subunit ribosomal RNA", at positions 338 to 795 of the family's 1533-position model. Lineage: Bacteria; Pseudomonadati; Pseudomonadota; Gammaproteobacteria; Oceanospirillales; Halomonadaceae. The record is from RNAcentral.
CCUACGGGUGGCUGCAGUGGGGAAUAUUGGACAAUGGGCGAAAGCCUGAUCCAGCCAUGCCGCGUGUGUGAAGAAGGCCUUCGGGUUGUAAAGCACUUUCAGUGGGGAAGAAAGCCUUGGGGCUAAUACCCUCGAGGAAGGACAUCACCCACAGAAGAAGCACCGGCUAACUCCGUGCCAGCAGCCGCGGUAAUACGGAGGGUGCGAGCGUUAAUCGGAAUUACUGGGCGUAAAGCGCGCGUAGGCGGUCUGAUAAGCCGGUUGUGAAAGCCCCGGGCUCAACCUGGGAACGGCAUCCGGAACUGUCAAGCUUGAGUGCAGGAGAGGAAGGUAGAAUUCCCGGUGUAGCGGUGAAAUGCGUAGAGAUCUGGAGGAAUACCAGUGGCGAAGGCGGCCUUCUGGACUGACACUGACGCUGAGGUGCGAAAGCGUGGGUAGCAAACAGGAUUAGAUACCCGGGUAGUC